RNAcentral lists this non-coding RNA (30 nucleotides) under Mus musculus (house mouse). The record is from RNAcentral. Lineage: Eukaryota; Metazoa; Chordata; Mammalia; Rodentia; Muridae.
UGAAUAACAUACAAGUCCUGGAAGAAGGGC